This is a long non-coding RNA of Symphalangus syndactylus (siamang), 795 nucleotides long. RefSeq lists it as uncharacterized. NCBI's taxonomy places the organism in Eukaryota, Metazoa, Chordata, Mammalia, Primates, Hylobatidae. The record is from RefSeq and is a predicted model, not a curated record.
CGCGCGUGCGCGGCUGGAGGCGGAGCGAGCCGGCAGCGCGCACGGCCCGGGGGCUCCCGCCAGAACCCGAGCCCACGCACACAAGGGUCGCGGGGCUGGGAAGCUCCUCAUCCAAGCCUGUCAGGGAGCCCCCCCAUCACUCGACCGCGAAAGACUGAGAAAAGGGAGGGUUCGUGCCACCAGCACACAGAUGCGGACGGUGGGUGGGAAAAAGGGCAGACGCUACUCCCAGCGAACCGCCGCCGCCGCUCCCGAGGCCUCACCAAAAUGGCCGCCGCCGUCUCGGCCGCCACCACCAGCACCACCACCGCCGCCACUCGCUCGGAAUCGCUACCGCCGGCGCGGCCCGUCUUCUCGCGAGAGACAGUAACUGGAGGGUGGGGGAACGGGGAGGCUGGCGUGCUAGCGUAGGGCGCCGCACGGCGCGCAAGGCAGCCUGGGAGGUGUAGUCUCCCGGAGGCUGCGCGCUCGCCCCUCCUCGGAGCGCCUUUACCAUCUGCACCUAGAGCUACCUGGGGCUGCAUUGCGGCUGCCAGCUCGGACCACCGCCACCUCCCUUUUUAUUUACAGAUCACCCAGUAAGCUGCAGCAAGUUAGCAGUGGAACCUGGGCCUCCCGAUUCCCAUGGCAGCCCACUUCUGUAGCGCUGCUUCGUUUUCCGCGAGGAUGGUUUCCUGAUAGCUUUCAAACACCUUUGCCAUCUGUUCGCAAACUUUCUAGGUUAAGAAUCCCUUCGAGAAUCUGAUACCUUUACCCCAGAACAGAACAAUAAAUAACAGCUACCUUCUACUGACA